UGAACUUAAAUUCCAUUUAAAUUAUUCACUUAUUCAUCAACUAUUUCAUUUUAGAAAAUGGACAAAGUAGGAAGUCCAACCUCUAAUUCAAAGUCUGCAGAUGCUCAAAAAAGAAGAAAGAGAUUGUCCCAAUUUGCUAAACAAAAGACAACAAAGAAAGAGGUUUCCAGUUCCAAAGUCAAUAAAAAAUCACUUGAUAUAAAAAGUUCCCCUUCUUUAACACCACUUGCAGAUAUCACUUCAGUUACACUGAACCAGCUAAAUUUUUCCAACCAAUCUCUUCAAAAUAAGACAAAUCCUUCAGUUAAUCAACAAAAUAGAAUAUGUCCAUUGAAUCUAAUACCAAGGAAAUAUGUAUCUGGUGUUAAUCUACUCAACAAGUUUGCCUCAGCAUCAACUGAUGAACCAAAACCAACUGCUGCUCCAACACCUGAUUCUGGAAAAACAACAACUACUGUCUUGACAAAUGUUAAAAGAAAGCUGCCAAGAUCACUUAAUCAGCCUCAACAACAAGUUCCUCGGCCUAAUGCAACUCCAUUGCAGAUAUCUAAGUCUAAUCAAACUCAAACACACUCAAGAAAUCUUGGUAAUCCCCAAUGUCAAUCUUCAAGACCUAUUUGUGCUAAACAACUCAAUCAGUCCAGGCCAAAUGUCAAACCAAUCCCUCAAUCACAAUUGGUUAUAGAAUAUAAUCAUGAAUUUAACAGAAUGUCGUCUAAUGUUAAGUUCUCACGAUCAAGGUAUUUUGAUCCUGGAGCAAGUACUUCAACUAAUCCUCAUACUGGACUCUUAAGUGAGAUAAGAACUGCAGAUGUUUGUGAUUUAUCAACCGCGCCAAAUUAGGAAAAUGCUAAGAGAAAGCAACACUUAUCAAAGGAAAAUAUACCACCAACAUAUUACAAUCCAUUUUCAAUGCCCACAAGGAUUCCUUCUCCUAAUGGUAAAACAUGUAAAGAACCUACAAACACAAAUGGGAAGGGUCAAUCCAAUAGAACCAAAAGGAAAGCCUUUACUACACAUGCUCAAUAUUAUGCUGCAAAUGGCAUACAUGAACCUAAUGCCACAAAUCCUUUAGAUAAUCUUUCAGAGUCAUCAUCAGAUGAAUAUGAAUAUGAUGAUAGUCAACAAUCUGAAUCUGAUGAUAGUGAACAGGAUGAGUCUGAAAAUAUUGAGAAUUAUGCUCAAGGUACGUACCAUCUUAACCUCAACUACUUACUGAUUAUCAAAUAUACAUAUAUACUUAACCUGUAAUUAAUAACCAAUGUCUUUGGCAUUUGCAAUGCCACAAUUUAUUCUGAUAUAGGUGAUUCUGUGUGGGAAUGCCAGAAAUGUGGAGCUUUGAUAUGGUAUCAAGAAAGAAAAGAUAAAUCAAGGAAUACUACGAUACCAAAAUUUCAGUUAUGUUGCGGAGGUGGCAAAGUGCAACUACCUCUGUUAGAACCACCUCCCCAACUGUUGCAAGAUCUUUUAGAUGGAAACCAAUCAGUAGCUAGCAAGAAUUACCAAGCAAAUACCAGGACAUAAAAGGCAAUGUUUUCAUUUACCUCACCUGAAAUGAAAAUGGACAAUGACAUCAACAAUGGAAGAGGUCCCCCAAUAUUAAAAAGGCAAGGACAAACAUGUCACAUAUUUGGAAGUAUGUUGCCUUUACCUGGUGAGAGUCCAAAAUAUGCUCAACUAUACAUAUUUGAUACGGAGAAUGAAAUUUCAAAUAGAAUGAAAACCUACAGGUACAACAUACACAUGUUUAUUACUAAUUUUUAAAAAUUUCAUUGGAGAAUAAAAUUUCAUAUUGCUUAUGAUUAAUAUAAAUUUUGUGGUUAUAUAGAUCAAACAAAGAGAUUGAUGAAGAUAUUGUGAAGAGACUCAAGGUUAUGCCAGACCAGAAUAAUGUCCAUGCACAAGUUUUCCGAAUGGCAAGAGAUAUACUGCAUGAUCGAAACUUCCAAGAUGUCAAAUUGAAACUGAU
Molecule: long non-coding RNA, 1969 nt
Filed under: Medicago truncatula (barrel medic)
Lineage: Eukaryota; Viridiplantae; Streptophyta; Magnoliopsida; Fabales; Fabaceae
Description: long non-coding RNA (MTRU_LNC004953)
Source: RNAcentral